Scylla paramamosain (green mud crab) is the source of this 3138-nucleotide long non-coding RNA. RefSeq lists it as uncharacterized. The transcript has 4 exons. NCBI's taxonomy places the organism in Eukaryota, Metazoa, Arthropoda, Malacostraca, Decapoda, Portunidae. The record is from RefSeq and is a predicted model, not a curated record.
GAAAGCACACACAAAAGUUCCUAAUUUCACCGUAAGUCACUGGAGGCAAACUUUAGAGAUUCAGUAAAUCUUUGUUGAUGUUGCUUUCUCCCCCUUUACAGAUUGCCUGUUCAUCUUUCCAUUCCUCAACGCUUUGUUAUUCUCGUCUUCCGCUUUUAUUCCUGCUUCACUUCUAGUUUCAAGAGACUCGGUUUGUGAGUCGUAUGCUUGCGUGCGUUGCAGUGGUGAGAAGAAAUGUGUGUGUGUGUGUGUGUGUGUGUGUGUGUUCUGGCUAGUGGACAGAAGACUUGUGUGUGGUGGGGUGGGGACAGUAUUUAGUGAAGGAAUGUGGUUGUGUGUGUGUGUGUGUGUGUGUGUGUGUGUGUGUGUGUGUUAGGGGGGUGGGAAUGGUGGUGGGUGACGGGGAGCGCGUCGUUGCAGUCUUAACAUUUUCUCUUGUUAUCCACGUCCUCUUUGUCAGCCUCCACCUUUUCUUGUCCCUGAGUUUUCUGCUUCCUUUUCUGCAUGAACUUACACAUAUCGUCGUCUCCUUUUACUUCUUCAUCCUUUUGCUUUUCAGUCGUGAUGGUCCUCGUCCAGCUCCUCGCCACCUCACCACACGCCACCACCUUCCCUGUUGAUGCUGCGUCAACUUUAUUGUCCUCGCCGUUGCAUUCCCACAUGCGUCGCUGUCAUGGCACCCUGGCACCCUACAGCCACAACUGCUGCUGCUGUCUUUUAUCCUGUAACAGGCGUGUGAGCGGUGUUGUGAUCGUCGCCUAGAGGUGUCCAUGUUCCGGGAGUCGCUGCCCUUCCAGUCCUCCUCCGCUGUCUGUCUGAGCAACCUGGGUGAAGAGCGGCGGACGCCGCGUUCCAUGUUAAUGUUUGCUGACCAGCCGUCCUCUCUUAUUUUCUCGGUCCUAGCGAGGUGAAGGAGGGACGCUUGCUUCUGCGGCAAACAGAAGCAAUCCACGAGGACGACAGGAAGGUGCGAACGUUUGAGGUGGAUGAAAAUAAUUAAUUAAUUGCUCAAUAUGUUGCUGACCAGCAGUCUUCAACGUUCGCACCGUGUCGUCCUCGUGGGUUGCCAUCUUAAACGUUUAACCUUCACCACUUUAUCAGAAGCCGCCUCCUUUACUAACUAGUAGGGACUGGAGAGGCAAAGAGGACGGGGCUGAUCAGCAAACGGAUGGAGAAACCAAGAGUAUGCCAUCUCGUGUCUCCAACCCAACGGAGUGGUUGUAAGCACCGAGCAGAAUCAGGGAGCCAAGACGCAAGGAUGGGGAUAGCCCGCGAAUGCCCGGCGAUGUCUUUAGUACGAAAACUCUGGGAGGGUGAAGAGGCACGUGGCAUUCAGCGGGUGAGAACUCGCAUGUUGCUGGAAGACAAGUAAGUGUUGCAACUAUGGACAUCUACCACCAGAGCGGUAGCCGGCCAUUACGAAUUACCCACACCAUUUUGAGAUGAAGAACCGGAUCUGCCAAACAACAACAACGAGAUGGCGCAGAAACGCUUGAAGGGACAGACGACGCCUCGCUAGGGAUUCGGACUUCAGACGACGAUAUGCAGGAGAGAGAGAACAAUUGCUGUUAAAGAGCGAUGCCAGCGUCUGAACGUGAAGGACCACGAGGAGUAACCUGGUGCCUGCCUCACCAUCCACUCAUGAACCCAAACAAACCUGAGAAAGUGAAGGCUUUGUUUGCGCAGCGAAGUACAACAACGUUUCCCUCAAAGACUGAGUGAUGCAGGUUCCUGACCUAAAUAGCAAACUGGUGGGUGCCCUUCUGCGUUUCCGAAGUGAACGGAUUGCCGCGAUGGCUGAUGUGAAGGCAAUGUUUCUCAUCAAGCUGGCGUGACGUCACCCCUCUUCACCGAGACUCCUUAAGAGAUUCCUUUGGUGGAAAGAUGGGAACCUAAGGAGGGUACGGCGCGCCUACCAAAUGACGGGUAUGUCUUUUCGGGUGUGUAUGGAGUCCCUCCUGUGCUGCUUACUCAUUGCAACGAACUUUGACCGACUGUGAGGAAGAAUAUGGCAUAGCUAGUAGUUACUGAACAUGGAGGGGCUUGUACGUAGACAACUUACUUCUUUCAGUACCCUCCACCGAAAAGGCAUCCAGAUUUACUCGCGAUCUUUGGCUCACAAAGAGAGGAUUUCUGCUAAGUGGGUUAGUAGUAACCAUAAGGAGACAUAGUACAGUACUGUGUCCUACAGAGAGAGACAGGAAUAAGAAUAGAUCUGAGUAAGGACGCACUGGCUACAAAACGGGAUCUGGAAAGGGAUCAGUCAAUCAACUAGCUGUGAGGGGAGUACUGAGGGUGAGCAGCUCCGUUCAUGACCCUCUUGGACUGGUCAGUCCUGUAAUGAUUAAAGCGAAGGCGAUGAUCAAUUAAGGCGAAGGCGAAGAUCUUUCAGGACGAGUGCAGCCGAUAAGGAAGGAUGGAUGACCCCCUCCUAAAUCACCACAGGUCCUAGUUGGUUGGCUUGGCUGGAGGAGUUACCAGGACUGACGGUCUUUCAAGUUCCCCGAUGCUACAGGCGGGAGGACAUGGGAGAUGUUUUAUCACUUACCAACUGCAUCAUUUCAGAUCAAACAGGCUGAGAUGGUGAUAUUAAGAGUUGUUCAAACCACAACGUGCAAAGAGGAGAUGAACAUCCUAAAGUCAAAGUCAAAGAAAAAAAAACUACAGAGGAAACAUUCGAUCUGUCGAGUGGAACCCCUUCAUGGGUGAGGGUGGAUCCAGCCGUCCUCCAUGUGGACGGCUGGACCACGCACCGUUGCCUGCUACAAGUCGGUAUCCCAUUUCCAUGCUCAUACGGAGAGAGAUCAUCAUAUCACAAAAUUGAUUCUACAAGAGUGCAUGAGGACUUUACUUGACAGUUCACGCAGGAUGGGAGCAUGUUACGUCACACUUACUGGAUUCCACAUACACCACCUGCCUGAGGACCGAGAGUAACCCCCAUGCUGGCACCAUUCUCGUCAGCUGGAGUGGAUUGCUUCAGACCGUUCUUGGUCAAAGUGGAAAGAAGCAGAGUGAGUUAGUGGGGAUGCCUCCACGUGCAUGACUACACACAUAAGAACAUAAGAAAUAAGGGAAGCUGCAAGAAGCGACCAGGCUUACACGUGGCAGUCCCUAUAUGAAAUAUACCUACCUAUUUUC